Molecule: ribosomal RNA, 253 nt
Filed under: uncultured Lachnospiraceae bacterium
Lineage: Bacteria; Bacillati; Bacillota; Clostridia; Lachnospirales; Lachnospiraceae
Description: partial 16S ribosomal RNA
Rfam family: Bacterial small subunit ribosomal RNA
Source: RNAcentral
UACGUAGGGGGCAAGCGUUAUCCGGAUUUACUGGGUGUAAAGGGAGCGUAGACGGUUAAUCAAGUCAGAAGUGAAAACCCAGGGCUCAACCUUGGGACUGCUUUUGAAACUGAGUAGCUAGAGUACAGGAGAGGAAAGCGGAAUUCCUAGUGUAGCGGUGAAAUGCGUAGAUAUUAGGAAGAACACCAGUGGCGAAGGCGGCUUUCUGGACUGAAACUGACGCUGAGGCACGAAAGCGUGGGGAGCGAACAGG